RNAcentral lists this ribosomal RNA (327 nucleotides) under uncultured bacterium. Its description in RNAcentral is "bacterial SSU rRNA". It matches the Rfam family "Bacterial small subunit ribosomal RNA", at positions 28 to 337 of the family's 1533-position model. The record is from RNAcentral.
GACGAACGCUGGCGGCGUGCCUAAUACAUGCAAGUCGAACGGUCUUUUCUAUGGAAGCUUGCUUCCACUGAGAAGAUAGUGGCGAACGGGUGAGUAACACGUGGGUAACCUGCCCAUAAGAGGGGGAUAACAUCCGGAAACGGGUGCUAAUACCGCAUAGGUUUCUUGGUCGCAUGAUCGAGAAAGGAAAGACGGCCUUUGUGCUGUCGCUUAUGGAUGGACCCGCGGCGUAUUAGUUAGUUGGCGGGUAACGGCCCACCAAGGCGACGAUGCGUAGCCGACCUGAGAGGUGACCGGCCACACUGGAACUGAGACACGGCCCAGACU